AUCCCACUUAGCCCCCUUCCACGCACACAAAUCCAACCUCUCCCAUCAAAGACUCCCUCUGUGUUUGCUGAACUUGAGAAGCAACACUGACGCGUGACUACCACACCGGGGCUAUGGUUUUCAUUAUGGCUUACACACUUGUGCAAUGACAUGUAUCUACCCUCGGAGUGUCACAUAGAACAACCGACUGUCCUAAAAAUCCCUGUGCCACUCGAAGUUAUCUCUCUUUCUCUUUCUCCGAGCUUUUGGCAACCAUGGUCUUUCUAAAUGUCCAUAGUCUUACCUUUUCCUUAAUGCUCACAUCCUUGGGACUACUAUGAACUUUCAUGUAGAUGUAACUUAUUUGGGAAAAUAUCAACAGGCAUGGCUGUUGAUGGUCAAAGCACAUUCAGGUUUGUAAGAAAUCGUCCCAGAGGCCUCCCCCUGCACAGCAGUACCUCACUGCCUCCUCAUGAAGAAUUAACAAGAUUAUUUACAGCUCCACAGUCUUGCCAGCAUUUGGAACUGUUGGAGUUUUAGAUGUAGGCCAGUCUAAUGGAUAUGGAAUCUCACUGUUGUUUAAAUGUACAGUUCCAUAGGGAUGAACGAGGUCAAACACCUUCUCAUAAUCUUUUAAAGUAUGAUCCCCUCUGCCAUGGCGUGAAAGCUAACACUGUCCUCACUUCUACGAGAGAGUUGUGGCACAAGAAACAUGGCUUUGUCUGCAGUCCUAAAAGGAAGGAUACUGAAUCACAGUUAGGCUUCUGAGCCAUGACUCUAACAGUAGCUCCAUGGCUGAAUUUUAGGGCUUGCUCAGUCUAUUUCAUGGGAGCCAAGAUAUAUUUUGUUUUAACACUUCGAGGAGUGGUUAUGUCUGGCCUUGUCUGGGUGACAAUGAAGAAAGAUGACAUUUGGUAUAUUAAUAUUUGGUAUGAAGCAGCAGUCCCUUACUGGGUGGCUUGGCUGUCUGAAGUGCGAUGUGCUGGUCAAGGCCUGUCUUGCUUAAUUUAUCAGGAAAAAAAUCCUUUACAGACAAAACAAUUAAACAACAACCCACAAACCCCAAACUGAUGACACAGAUCCUGCAGGUCCUUCACACACAGAGCCCCACUACAUGUGCUCAGAAGACUCUUAGAGAGUACUGACUGCACUCUUAGGAAAGGCUUGUCCACACUUCAGGCAUGAGUGGUAAAUCUUUGUCCUACAGACAAGCUGAAUCGGGAGGUCUUUGUCAGUACUGAAUUUGACUCUGUGCUCUAAGUCCAGCAUGUUCUGACUAGUUACUAAAAACUCAGUAAAUGUAAAAAAAGGAAAAAAAAAAAAAAGCAAGAGUUUUCACAUGAACAAAGUCACAUACCACAAUACCUGGAUCCUAUAAAAUGAAACAAAAUGCUUCCAAAGGGAAACUGUGAUAGGAACUCUUAUUUGUCUGUUGUUUGUUUGAAACUUCAUUUGUGUGUGUUGCAUAUGUGCAGGUGUGAGGGUGAGUGCGUAUGUGUGUUUGUAUUAGUGCAGAUGUGUAGGUGAACGCAUAUGUGCGUUUGUGCAUGUAGAAGUCAGGUGUCAAUCUUGGGGGAUCAUUUCCUCAGCAGAUGUGCACUUUGUUUCUUGAGGCAGAUCUGAGGCUGUGAUGCCAGCCUGACUGUUCAACAAGGUGUUCUCCACCUUCCCAGCACUGAAGUUAUAGCCAGAGAUGCCACAUUUAGCCUUUCAUGUCGGUGCUGGGUAUUGAACUCGGAUCCUCCUGCUUACACGGAAAGUUUUUUAUAAACUGAGCUGUAAGUCUCACCUCUAGACAGAAACUUUAAAAAAUAAUUUAAAAAUAUUGUAAUGGGUAUAUUUUCAUAAACCCUUCCCCUACAAACAGCAUAGGCUUUUGCCAAGACUACUGGUUUCUAUCCACAGCCCGAUGGUAAGAGCUUAUUGUGAAGUCACCACUUACAUCACAGAACACAGAAAAAUCUAACUGGUACUCAACUAGACACUUUACCCCUACUCAUAAGCAUCCGCAGUGCUGGGAGGUAUUCUGUAUGUUACCAGCGAAGAAAGGUAAUCAUUGAUAUCACACCCAGCCACAGACCCUGAGACUGACAACAGUGACUGUUGAAGAAAUGUUAUGGUGGUUAUCAACCGUGUUUUAAAACUGGAUUUAAGACCCACUCCUUGAGAUAGAAUUCAUAUUAGAUGUUGCUAAAGUAGCCAAGAACUUGAGACUAGACACGUCAUUGUCUCUAGGGGGAAACCUACAACUAGUAUUCCUCUGAAAGAACAUGUUGAUAAGAUGACCCAUGGCUAUACUCCUAGACCUCUGUGUUACUCAACCUUGUUAAGCUUUCUCUUGCAGUGGAUGGUAAUUGACCCAGAAAUCUACAAUAACACAGUACGCAGAAAGUGAGAGGAUCUGGAGCACUCCGCCCUAAAUGGGAUUCUCUAUGAAACCCUUCCUUCCCCUCAUGGCUCAGGGAGCUAUGCCAAAGAGGAGGUGGAAUGAUUGUAAGACCUGGAGGAGGAGGAUGACUUCAAGGGAAGAGCAUCUUCCAGGCAACAGGAUUGAUAUAUGUAAACUCACUGACACUGUGGCAGAAUACACAGGACCUGCGUGGGAUCAAACCAAAGCCUCGGCACUGAGAAGUGGAGGAGACACAGAGUCCCAUCCCCAUCACAAAGCUACUUGUACUUGAUGACUGCUGGAAAAGAGAAGAUCAGUUUCUCCUGGGGAGUGUCACUGGGAAUUUCAACCACACUCCAGACAGGCCCCACACCCAGAACUAAUUGGCCAACACAGAACAGACUCGAUGUUUGAAAAGGUGAGGGAAGGGGAAAGGAAAGAAGCAUUAAAAUAUGGACAAAUCCUCCUGUUCACUCUCAUGUUGAGUUUUAACCUCCAUGAUGGCUUUCUCCUACAGACCUGAUGAGAGUCCUCAUGGCCUUGGCCUCUGCCAAUAUUAGCCAACAAAUUUCUGGUUUUCUGUUUUGUCCACGGGUGCUACUGGUCUGUAUCUGUGGCUAUCAGUGAUUCAGGUUAACAGAACUCACAGGCCAAGCACUUUUUCAAGGUCCUGUGUUCACUAAAGCACUUCAUGACAUUGUCACAAGUUAAAUUAAUAUUAGAAGACAUUGGGGUGCAUUGGAAUACCUGUGUUAAACUGGCUUAACUUCACAAGAAAACAGGAGACACAAGGCUCCAUGACCGCAACUCACAGUCAGUAAUACCAAUACAAGCACAAGGCUUUUCUGUCUGCCCAUCUGGUCAACCCUAUUGUAUUGUACCUUGCCCUUCAGCUUUGACAUCUCAUGGUCACUAUUAACUCUCGUAAUUCUAAGCAUCACAUUCACCUACAAUUGUGUCAAGUCAGGAAGAAAUAUAGUAGUAGAAGUUUGAGGAGGAAAAAAAAAUCUCUCGCCCUGAAUCUGUCUUUUUUUUUUUUUUUUUAAUCCCAAAAGAGAAAGUAUGUCUUAGAAUCCCCAAGUGAGAGAUGCGCAGAACUGUGUCACGUAGCCAAUGCCAGGGGCAAGAUAAGAUGACACCAAAUUUGGAAGUUUACGUUUUUCCACCCCCAUGGGAAGCAGCUACACUAGGGAAGAAAGGCUUGGAGAACGAAGCUGCAUGAACGUCGAUGUCCGCUGUUACCAACAGUUCAGAAACACUUCUGGGUACCAGAGGAAAACUCUGUCCCAAAGAAAAUUCUAUCUAUCUAUCUAUCUAUCUAUCUAUCUAUCUAUCUAUCUAUCUAUCUAUCUACCUAUCUAUGAUAAUUUAUAUAAAUUAUAAAUAUAAAUAGUGUUCUUUGGGGACGUGGGACCAUCACACUACCAAGUAAUUCAGUUUUGACUCCAUUGAAGUCCUACAGUUUAAAAAAAAAAAAGAAAAAGAAAGAAAGGAAAAGAAAAGAAAAGGAAAAGCUCCCAACUCCUGACCUGAUUGGUUCUCUGCUCUCCAUACUGCAGGAAUUCCUAACAUUACUAAAGAGCUGAAAGAGGAGCUCGCUGUACCAUGAAGCUGGUUUUGCUAUUCUUCUUGCUGUCUGUCUCCCAUGGUUCAGUUUCUUAAUUCCUCUGGUCCCAGAUGGGACUCCCUCAAUAAAACUUAGCUCUCCUUGAUUCCCUGGGGCCCAAAUGUUUUUCACCGAACCAUUAGAGUUGAAUAUUUUCACAAAUUUUCCCAUGGAAAGAUGGAGGGUGAGAACCCACCCAGCCCAUAAAAUCUGCUGUCCCCUCCGCCAGGGUGUUCAAUCAUCAUGCCAGCUCAAAAGACUGCAGUGCAAAAGCACAUUUUAUUUUUCUGCUGGAAAUGUAAGGAGUGGGGGGGGGUGUUUUGUUUUGUUUCAAACAACUGGUCCUUCCACACUGGAUUCGGUGCAGCUCAAGAGUCGACACUAAUUAAGAGGAGCUUGCCUUACUUUGUGGAAACUCUCCAAUUCUUUAUAUUUGGUUGAACAAUGUGUGGGUUGGGAAUUUUUAAUUCUUUUCAAGCUAGAAGUGCAAAUAUUCUCAACUCUCACAAAAUGAUCUUCUCUUAAUAAAAGCAGAGAGAUCAUUCCACAAAGCACGAUCCUUAGUCUGGGUUCAAGUUGAAGAACUGAAAAUAUUUGCGUUAUCUUGGUUUUCAAUAGGAGUUGCCCGGCAGGAUCAGAUCUCUGUUUGUACGGCCUAAUACCACGCUUCGUGUUUAGGCAGAAUCAGAUACUCCAAAGAAAAGGAAAACACGGAGGGCAAGUCCAGCCUGCUGCACCUGGCCAUUGUGUAAUCGCCCACACCCGGAGUGAGAUCCAAGUCCAGUCUGCCUCAACAGCCCCCUGUGGUCACAAAUGCUCCAAGCUGUCAGUUGGUUCAAAAGAUGCUGGCUGGUACGCCUCCCCCAGCUCUCCUCCUGCCCCCCCCCUCCAAUCCUUUAUUUACAUUUCUUUUCCUUCAGCUGCAAUAAAUGUGCUCGGUUCUUAUUU
Molecule: non-coding RNA, 4922 nt
Organism: Rattus norvegicus (Norway rat)
Lineage: Eukaryota; Metazoa; Chordata; Mammalia; Rodentia; Muridae
Source: RefSeq, a predicted model, not a curated record